Skermanella aerolata KACC 11604 is the source of this 55-nucleotide non-coding RNA. Lineage: Bacteria; Pseudomonadati; Pseudomonadota; Alphaproteobacteria; Rhodospirillales; Azospirillaceae. The record is from Rfam.
CGGUUGGGAGGGCUGCCAUGGAGCAGUCCGUUGAGGCUUGGCCCUCACCCGGCCG